This 495-nucleotide ribosomal RNA is filed under the name uncultured bacterium. RNAcentral describes it as "bacterial SSU rRNA". It matches the Rfam family "Bacterial small subunit ribosomal RNA", at positions 26 to 518 of the family's 1533-position model. The record is from RNAcentral.
AGGACGAACGCUGGCGGCGUGCCUAACACAUGCAAGUCGAGCGGAGUCAGUAAGAGGAAGUUUCGGAUGGAAUCUUAUUGAUUCAGCGGCGGACGGGUGAGUAACGCGUGAGCGACCAACCUUGCACAGGGGGAUAACGGACCGAAAGGUUCACUAAUACCGCAUGAGACCACGGUGUUGCAUGACACAGAGGUCAAAGGGGGAAUCCGGUGCAAGACGGGCUCGCGUCCGAUUAGGUAGUUGGAGGGGUAACGGCCCACCAAGCCUAUGAUCGGUAGCCGACCUGAGAGGGUGAUCGGCCACAUUGGAACUGAGAUACGGUCCAAACUCCUACGGGAGGCAGCAGUGGGGAAUAUUGGGCAAUGGGGGGAAACCCUGACCCAGCAACGCCGCGUGAAGGAAGAAGGUUUUCGGAUUGUAAACUUCUGUCCUUGGUGAAGAGAAGAAGACGGUAGCCAAGGAGGAAGCCCCGGCUAACUACGUGCCAGCCGCAGC